CCUACGGGUGGCAGCAGUGGGGAAUAUUGCACAAUGGAGGGAACUCUGAUGCAGCGACGCCGCGUGAGUGAAGAAGUAAUUCGUUAUGGAAAGCUCUAUCAGCAGGGAAGAAAGUGACGGUACCUGAAAAAGAAGCUCCGGCUAAAUACGUGCCAGCAGCCGCGGUAAUACGUAUGGAGCAAGCGUUAUCCGGAUUUACUGGGUGUAAAGGGAGAGUAGGGGGCAGAGUAAGUCCGAAGUGAAAACCCAAAGCACAACUACGGGAAUGCUGUAGAAACUGGUCAGCUAGAGUGCAGGAGAGGCAAGUGGAAUGCGUGGUGUAGCAGUGAAAUGCGUAGAUAUUAGGCGGAACACCAGUGGCGAAGGCGGCUUGCUGGACUGUAACUGACACUGAGGCUCGAAAGCGUGGGGAGCAAACAGGAUUAGAUACCCUAGUAGUC
This 440-nucleotide ribosomal RNA is filed under the name uncultured bacterium. RNAcentral's name for it is "partial 16S ribosomal RNA". It matches the Rfam family "Bacterial small subunit ribosomal RNA", at positions 338 to 795 of the family's 1533-position model. The record is from RNAcentral.